AGGACGAACGCUGGCGGCGUGCUUAACACAUGCAAGUCGAACGGUAAGGCCCCUUCGGGGGUACACGAGUGGCGAACGGGUGAGUAACACGUGAGCAACCUGCCCUUGACAUUGGAAUAACAGUUGGAAACAGCUGCUAAUACCGGGUAUGACACAUCUUCGCAUGGGGGGUGUGUGGAAAGCCUUGGCGGUCAAGGAUGGGCUCACGGCCUAUCAGCUAGUUGGUGAGGUAAUGGCUCACCAAGGCUUCGACGGGUA
This 258-nucleotide ribosomal RNA is filed under the name uncultured bacterium. RNAcentral describes it as "partial small subunit ribosomal RNA". It matches the Rfam family "Bacterial small subunit ribosomal RNA", at positions 26 to 285 of the family's 1533-position model. The record is from RNAcentral.